AGAAACUUAGGUUAACUUUUAAACCAAGGGCCUUCAAAGCCCUAAACAGAGGACACCACCCCCCUAGUUUCUG
This 73-nucleotide transfer RNA is filed under the name Quedenfeldtia trachyblepharus (Atlas day gecko). RNAcentral's name for it is "tRNA-Trp". It matches the Rfam family "tRNA". From Rfam's summary of the family: Transfer RNA (tRNA) molecules are approximately 80 nucleotides in length. Their secondary structure includes four short double-helical elements and three loops (D, anti-codon, and T loops). Further hydrogen bonds mediate the characteristic L-shaped molecular structure. tRNAs have two regions of fundamental functional importance: the anti-codon, which is responsible for specific mRNA codon recognition, and the 3' end, to which the tRNAs corresponding amino acid is attached (by aminoacyl-tRNA synthetases). tRNAs cope with the degeneracy of the genetic code in two manners: having more than one tRNA (with a specific anti-codon) for a particular amino acid; and 'wobble' base-pairing, i.e. permitting non-standard base-pairing at the 3rd anti-codon position. The record is from RNAcentral. Lineage: Eukaryota; Metazoa; Chordata; Lepidosauria; Squamata; Sphaerodactylidae.